GGGCUAUUAGCUCAGUGGUAGAGCGCGCCCCUGAUAAUUGCGUGGCGAGGUCUCUGGUUCAAGUCCAGGAUGGCCCA
Molecule: transfer RNA, 77 nt
Filed under: Malus domestica (apple)
Lineage: Eukaryota; Viridiplantae; Streptophyta; Magnoliopsida; Rosales; Rosaceae
Also listed under: 177 other names
Description: tRNA-Ile
Rfam family: tRNA
About the family: Transfer RNA (tRNA) molecules are approximately 80 nucleotides in length. Their secondary structure includes four short double-helical elements and three loops (D, anti-codon, and T loops).
Source: RNAcentral